GUGCUCGCUUUGGCAACACACACACUAAAACUGGGACGAUAGAGAGGACUAGCACGGCCCCUGCAGAAGGGUGACAUUCAAAUUCAUGAAGUGUUCCAUAUUUUU
Molecule: small nuclear RNA, 105 nt
Organism: Cervus hanglu yarkandensis (Yarkand deer)
Lineage: Eukaryota; Metazoa; Chordata; Mammalia; Artiodactyla; Cervidae
Source: Ensembl